GAUGAACGCUGGCGGCGUGCCUAAUACAUGCAAGUCGAGCGAACAGACGAGGAGCUUGCUCCUCUGACGUUAGCGGCGGACGGGUGAGUAACACGUGGAUAACCUACCUAUAAGACUGGGAUAACUUCGGGAAACCGGAGCUAAUACCGGAUAAUAUGUUGAAUCGCAUGGUUCAAUAGUGAAAGACGGUCUUGCUGUCACUUAUAGAUGGAUCCGCGCCGCAUUAGCUAGUUGGUAAGGUAACGGCUUACCAAGGCAACGAUGCGUAGCCGACCUGAGAGGGUGAUCGGCCACACUGGAACUGAGACACGGUCCAGACUCCUACGGGAGGCAGCAGUAGGGAAUCUUCCGCAAAGGGCGAAAGCCUGACGGAGCAACGCCGCGUGAGUGAAGAAGGUCUUCGGAUCGUAAAACUCUGUUAUUAGGGAAGAACAAAUGUGUAAGUAACUAUGCACGUCUUGACGGUACCUAAUCAGAAAGCCACGGCUAACUACGUG
This 497-nucleotide ribosomal RNA is filed under the name uncultured bacterium. RNAcentral's name for it is "partial 16S ribosomal RNA". It matches the Rfam family "Bacterial small subunit ribosomal RNA", at positions 28 to 507 of the family's 1533-position model. The record is from RNAcentral.